AGUAACGCGUAGGAAUCUGCCUUAUAGUGGGGGAUAGCCCGGAGAAAUCCGGAUUAAUACCGCAUAAUCUCUACGGAGUAAAGGGGGCCUCUAUUUAUAAGCUUUCACUAUUUGAUGAGCCUGCGUAAGAUUAGCUUGUUGGUGAGGUAAAAGCUCACCAAGGCGACGAUCUUUAGCUGGUCUGAGAGGAUGAUCAGCCACACUGGGACUGAGACACGGCCCAGACUCC
This 229-nucleotide ribosomal RNA is filed under the name uncultured bacterium. Its description in RNAcentral is "partial 16S ribosomal RNA". It matches the Rfam family "Bacterial small subunit ribosomal RNA", at positions 109 to 339 of the family's 1533-position model. The record is from RNAcentral.